This is a long non-coding RNA of Cicer arietinum (chickpea), 1417 nucleotides long. RefSeq lists it as uncharacterized. NCBI's taxonomy places the organism in Eukaryota, Viridiplantae, Streptophyta, Magnoliopsida, Fabales, Fabaceae. The record is from RefSeq and is a predicted model, not a curated record.
UUGGCGGAAUUGAACGAGUGGAAGCAGAAAGAGACGGUUAUUAUUAUUAUUAUUAUUAUUAUUAUUAUUAUUAUUAUUAUUCAUGUUUUGAAUGGAAGUAGUAUUACAUACUCGUCUUUUGCUUGCUCCUAUGCGUUAGUUUAAAUGUUUGGGCGUUCAUUCUUUUUACUAAUUGAAUUGUAUGAAUAACUAUGAUCUGUUUGAAGUAUGUCCCCAACCAGAUUAUUUUGCUUGGUUCAAUUUCAAUACCACUGUUUGGUUCAACCAUGUAUUUGGGGAGGAGGAUCCAAAGAGGAACUUGGUUAAUUAAUGCUAUACAAACUUGUUAAUACAGUAUGUUUUAGUUUUUGAUUGUUGGUUAUAUUUGCACUCAUUCUUCCUGUUAUUUAUUUAUGCUGUGGAAGUAAAUUGUGUAUAAAAAGUGUGUUAAAGAGUGUAUUUUUAGCAUUUUUCAAACUGUAUAGACUUUAGGUCAUUAUAAUUCAGUAAUUCACAUAAUUAACUGAAGGUCAAGGGUAAUUGGAUUAAUGAUUUUAUUAGGUCUUGUAAAGAAUGUCAAUGUACAUAGGUGAUAGACUCCGUAGCUACACUUUGUUUUCGAACUGCAAGUUCUAUUUAUUCUCAACAAAUGUCCUAGUUCCAAUUCAGCCAUGGGAAUGCAAAAAUAAUAAAGCUCUUGAAGGAGAAUCGAGGGAUUAGUCUUUGCAGUUGCAAACUGAAUAUCUGAUUCACAAAAAGAAUACAGAGAAGUUGCGAGCUAUUCCUUCCCUGGUUAUUAGUUGCACCAUAGUUCCCCUUACCCUUUUCUAUUAUGAUUUUUCAGCUAGAUUCUGGACUUCUAUGUUUUCUGCAGCUUCAGUCAGAGGUGCAAGACAUGAGUUUUCUUGCACAUUCAAUAGGCAUUAUUAGUGACUCAGAUGGGAUGGAAUGAAGCAUUGUGCCAUUCACCCUUGAAUUUUCCUUUUAAAGCUGGGAUAUUUUAUUCUAAUUCAUAAAUCUUCAGGCCAAGCGAAAGGAAACAUGGUUGAUUGAAAAUUUUAGGAAAUUCGAUGUACCGAAGCUCCCCACAGAAAUUUUUUACCAUGGAAAGAACUCUGAACAGCCAAAAGUAAUGUCGCCUCUAGAUACAUCAUCAAAAGCCCAGUGUCAGGGAGCACUACCCUCUCACCGGCCUCAUGCAAAUUAGUGAAUAGAAGCUAUAAUUUUUGUUUCUUGAGGAGUAACCCUCAGAUAGAUAAACGUGUAGCAGUAAGUCCUGCAUCUAUUUUUCUUAGUAAUAACUUUGAAGUGUUGAUUCAUAAACUUAGCUGGAAAAUGUUAUGUUGAGAAAGCAUUGUGUUCUCUUCUUCUUAGCUGGAAAAUGUUAUGUUUAGAAAGCAUUGAGAAUACUAGUCAGUUCAUUGAAAAGUUGAAGAAA